UCCCUAUCUGCCGUGGGCGCUGGAGAACUGAGGGGGGCUGCUCCUAGUACGAGAGGACCGGAGUGGACGCAUCACUGGUGUUCGGGUUGUCAUGCCAAUGGCACUGCCCGGUAGCUAAAUGCGGAAGAGAUAAGUGCUGAAAGCAUCUAAGCACGAAACUUGCCCCGAGAUGAGUUCUCCCUGAGACUUUAAGUCUCCUGAAGGAACGUUGAAGACGACGACGUUGAUAGGCCGGGUGUGUAAGCGCAGCGAUGCGUUGAGCUAACCGGUACUAAUGAACCGUGAGGCUUAACCUUACAACGCCGAAGGUGUUU
Molecule: ribosomal RNA, 314 nt
Filed under: Escherichia coli
Lineage: Bacteria; Pseudomonadati; Pseudomonadota; Gammaproteobacteria; Enterobacterales; Enterobacteriaceae
Description: partial 23S ribosomal RNA
Rfam family: Bacterial large subunit ribosomal RNA
Source: RNAcentral